GACGAACGCUGGCGGCGUGCCUAAUACAUGCAAGUUGAGCGCUGAAGGUUGGUACUUGUACCAACUGGAUGAGCAGCGAACGGGUGAGUAACGCGUGGGGAAUCUGCCUUUGAGCGGGGGACAACAUUUGGAAACGAAUGCUAAUACCGCAUAAAAACUUUAAACACAAGUUUUAAGUUUGAAAGAUGCAAUUGCAUCACUCAAAGAUGAUCCCGCGUUGUAUUAGCUAGAUGGUGAGGUAAAGGCUCACCAAGGCGAUGGUACAUAGCCGACCUGAGAGGGUGAUCGGCCACAUUGGGACUGAGACACGGCCCAAACUCCUACGGGAGGCAGCAGUAGGGAAUCUUCGGCAAUGGACGAAAGUCUGACCGAGCAACGCCGCGUGAGUGAAGAAGGUUUUCGGAUCGUAAAACUCUGUUGGUAGAGAAGAACGUUGGUGAGAGUGGAAAGCUCAUCAAGUGACGGUAACUACCCAGAAAGGGACGGCUAACUACGUG
Molecule: ribosomal RNA, 497 nt
Filed under: uncultured bacterium
Lineage: Bacteria
Description: partial 16S ribosomal RNA
Rfam family: Bacterial small subunit ribosomal RNA
Source: RNAcentral